ACUCCUACGGGAGGCAGCAGUGGGGAAUAUUGGACAAUGGGGGACCGGUAGCAUCAGCCAUGCCGCGCUGUGUGAAGAAGGCCUUAUGGUUGUAAAGCACUUUAAGCGAGGAGGAGGCUACUGAGACUAAUACUCUUGGAUAGUGGACGUUACUCGCAGAAGAAGCACCGGCCAACUACGUGCCAGCAGCCGCGGUAAUACGUAGGGUGCGAGCGUUGUCCGGAAUUACUGGGCGUAAAGAGCUCGUAGGUGGUUUGUCGCGUUGUCCGUGAAAUCCCACGGCUUAACUGUGGGCGUGCGGGCGAUACGGGCAGACUGGAGUACUGCAGGGGAGACUGGAAUUCCUGGUGUAGCGGUGGAAUGCGCAGAUAUCAGGAGGAACACCGGUGGCGAAGGCGGGUCUCUGGGCAGUAACUGACGCUGAGGAGCGAAAGCGUGGGGAGCGAACAGGAUUAGAUACCCUGGUAGGUCAGU
RNAcentral lists this ribosomal RNA (474 nucleotides) under uncultured bacterium. RNAcentral's name for it is "bacterial SSU rRNA". It matches the Rfam family "Bacterial small subunit ribosomal RNA", at positions 335 to 798 of the family's 1533-position model. The record is from RNAcentral.